UGAACGCUGGCGGCGUGCCUAAUACAUGCAAGUCGAACGGGGAGUAGCAAUACUCUUAGUGGCGAACGGGUGAGUAACGCGUUGGUACCUGCCCCGAAGCGGGGGAUAACGGACCGAAAGGUCCGCUAAUACCCCAUGUGCUCGGUAACGAGUAAAGGUGAAAACCACUUUGGGAGGGGCCUGCGUCCCAUCAGCUAGUUGGUAAGGUAACGGCUUACCAAGGCGAUGACGGGUAGGGGACCUGAGAGGGUGGCCCCCCACAAUGGAACUGAAACACGGUCCAUACACCUACGGGUGGCAGCAGUAGGGAAUAUUGGUAAUGGGCGCAAGCCUGAACCAGCAACGCCGCGUGUGCGAUGACGGCCUUCGGGUUGUAAAGCACUUUUGACUGGGACGAGGAAGGACGGUACCGGUCGAAUCAGCCUCGGCUAACUACGUG
RNAcentral lists this ribosomal RNA (439 nucleotides) under uncultured bacterium. RNAcentral describes it as "partial 16S ribosomal RNA". It matches the Rfam family "Bacterial small subunit ribosomal RNA", at positions 30 to 507 of the family's 1533-position model. The record is from RNAcentral.